This 807-nucleotide ribosomal RNA is filed under the name uncultured bacterium. Its description in RNAcentral is "bacterial SSU rRNA". It matches the Rfam family "Bacterial small subunit ribosomal RNA", at positions 27 to 846 of the family's 1533-position model. The record is from RNAcentral.
GAAUCAACGCUGGCGGCGUGCCUCAGACAUGCAAGUCGAACGAUUAAAGCUCCCUUCGGGGAGUGCAUAAAGUGGCGCACGGGUGAGUAACACGUAAGUAAUCUACCCUCGGGUGGGGAAUAACGUUCGGAAACGAACGCUAAUACCGCAUAAUGCAGCGGCACCGCAAGGUGACAGUUGUUAAAGAUUUAUUGCCUGGGGAGGAGCUUGCGGCAGAUUAGCUUGUUGGUAAGGUAACGGCUUACCAAGGCUACGAUCUGUAUCCGGUCUAAGAGGACGGUCGGACACACUGACACUGAAUAACGGGUCAGACUCCUACGGGAGGCAGCAGUCGGGAAUUUUGGGCAAUGGGGGAAACCCUGACCCAGCAACGCCGCGUGAAGGAUGAAGUAUUUCGGUAUGUAAACUUCGAAAGAAUAGGAAGAAUUAAUGACGGUACUAUUUAUAAGGUCCGGCUAACUACGUGCCAGCAGCCGCGGUAAUACGUAGGGACCAAGCGUUGUUCGGAUUUACUGGGCGUAAAGGGCGCGUAGGCGGCGCGGUAAGUCACUUGUGAAAUCUCUGAGCUUAACUCAGAACGGCCAAGUGAUACUGCAGUGCUAGAGUGUGGAAGGGGCAAUCGGAAUUCUUGGUGUAGCGGUGAAAUGCGUAGAUAUCAAGAGGAACACCUGAGGUGAAGACGGGUUGCUGGGCCAACACUGACGCUGAGGCGCGAAAGCCAGGGGAGCAAACGGGAUUAGAUACCCCGGUAGUCCUGGCCCUAAACGAUGAAUACUUGGUGUCUGGUAGUUUUAAUACUUCGGGUGC